Molecule: long non-coding RNA, 743 nt
Organism: Bubalus bubalis (water buffalo)
Lineage: Eukaryota; Metazoa; Chordata; Mammalia; Artiodactyla; Bovidae
Exons: 2
Source: RefSeq, a predicted model, not a curated record
GUCUCACCUGAUUUGCAUUGGCAGUGAUGACAUCACCAUUGGAGUGAUGACAUCACCAUUGGCAGUGAUGACAUCACCAUUGGCGUGAUGACAUCACCAUCGGCAGUGAUGACAUCACCAUUGGAGUGAUGACAUCACUACUGGCAGUGAUGACAAUAAUAACCAAAGCACCACUGUUUGCGCACCCACCACGAACCAGGCACUUGCUCUGAUCGUCUGCAUCCUUGUUACUAAAAUCACCUGGAAGCUAAUUACAAAUAAAGGCACUCAGGCCCUACCCCAGCCUUGCUGAGUCAGAAUCUCCAUUUUUCACAAGGUCCUCAGGCUGCCCCCCAGAAGGACACUGGAGGCUCCCUGCAAGCAGGAAGAGUUACUCAAGGGCUACUCUGGACCUCAGCCUUGCCCCUUCCUCCUGCACCCCAAGUGGGGCUUCCCUGAAUUUGGACACAGCAGCCCCUUGAGGGAGGCGCUUGGGAGGGCAGUGCUCAGAGGGAAACAAGGAUGAUCUCUCACCUGCUGCUCCAGCUUGGUCCUCCUAACACUCACAGGCAGCCAAAGGGGGCCAACUUAGGGCCUGCCGGGUUAGCCCACCUCCCGGCGAGCCAGAGACAUUCUCUCCCCUGCCCAGGAAUGUGGUGCCCACUCCCUCCUUCAGGAAGCCCACGAAGCCACGUGGCAUACGCCAGCAGCAUCUUGGCCCGUGGGGCUGUGGCCCACGCCGCGUCUCAUUCCAAACUCCUCAA